Molecule: ribosomal RNA, 468 nt
Filed under: uncultured bacterium
Lineage: Bacteria
Description: partial 16S ribosomal RNA
Rfam family: Bacterial small subunit ribosomal RNA
Source: RNAcentral
GACGAACGCUGGCGGCGUGCUUAACACAUGCAAGUCGAACGGAAAGGCCCUGCUUUUGUGGGGUGCUCGAGUGGCGAACGGGUGAGUAACACGUGAGUAACCUGCCCUUGACUUUGGGAUAACUUCAGGAAACUGGGGCUAAUACCGGAUAGGAGCUCCUGAUGCAUGGUGGGGGUUGGAAAGUUUCGGCGGUUGGGGAUGGACUCGCGGCUUAUCAGCUUGUUGGUGGGGUAGUGGCUUACCAAGGCUUUGACGGGUAGCCGGCCUGGGAGGGUGAACGGCCACAUUGGGACUGAGAGACGGACCAGACUCCUACGGGAGGCAGCGGUGGGGAGUAUUGCGCAAUGGGCGGAAGCCUGAUGCAGCAACGCCGCGUGCGGGAUGACGGCCUUCGGGUUAUAAACCGCUUUCGCCUGUGACGAGGCGUGAGUGACGGUAAUGGGUAAAGAAGCACCGGCUAACUACGUG